This 480-nucleotide ribosomal RNA is filed under the name Serratia sp. (in: enterobacteria). RNAcentral describes it as "bacterial SSU rRNA". It matches the Rfam family "Bacterial small subunit ribosomal RNA", at positions 1006 to 1533 of the family's 1533-position model. The record is from RNAcentral. Lineage: Bacteria; Pseudomonadati; Pseudomonadota; Gammaproteobacteria; Enterobacterales; Yersiniaceae.
AUGCAUUGGUGGCUUCGGGAACUCUGAAAAAAGGUGCUGCAUGGCUGUCGUCAGCUCGUGUUGUGAAAUGUUGGGUUAAGUCCCGCAACGAGCGCAACCCUUAUCCUUUGUUGCCAGCGGUUCGGCCGGGAACUCAAAGGAGACUGCCAGUGAUAAACUGGAGGAAGGUGGGGAUGACGUCAAGUCAUCAUGGCCCUUACGAGUAGGGCUACACACGUGCUACAAUGGCGUAUACAAAGAGAAGCGACCUCGCGAGAGCAAGCGGACCUCAUAAAGUACGUCGUAGUCCGGAUUGGAGUCUGCAACUCGACUCCAUGAAGUCGGAAUCGCUAGUAAUCGUAGAUCAGAAUGCUACGGUGAAUACGUUCCCGGGCCUUGUACACACCGCCCGUCACACCAUGGGAGUGGGUUGCAAAAGAAGUAGGUAGCUAAUCUUCGGGAGGGCGCUAUACUAGUAGAGGAAAAAUUAUAUUCGCGGCC